AUUGAACGCUGGCGGCAUGCCUUACACAUGCAAGUCGAACGGUAACGGGCCUUCGGGUGCCGACGAGUGGCGAACGGGUGAGUAAUACAUCGGAACGUGCCCGAUCGUGGGGGAUAACGAGGCGAAAGCUUUGCUAAUACCGCAUACGAUCUACGGAUGAAAGCAGGGGACCGCAAGGCCUUGCGCGGACGGAGCGGCCGAUGGCAGAUUAGGUAGUUGGUGGGAUAAAAGCUUACCAAGCCGACGAUCUGUAGCUGGUCUGAGAGGAUGAUCAGCCACACUUGGGCUGGAGCACGGCCCAGGAUCCUACGGGAGGGCACAGGUGGGAAUUUUUGGCAAUUGGGGGAAAGCUGGAUCAAGCAUGCCGCGUGCAGGAUGAAGGCCUUCGGGUUGUAAACUGCUUUUGUACGGAACGAAAAGCCUUCUUUUAAUACAGGAGGGUCAUGACGGUACCGUAAGAAUAAGCACCGGCUAACUACGUG
RNAcentral lists this ribosomal RNA (482 nucleotides) under uncultured bacterium. RNAcentral's name for it is "partial 16S ribosomal RNA". It matches the Rfam family "Bacterial small subunit ribosomal RNA", at positions 30 to 507 of the family's 1533-position model. The record is from RNAcentral.